This 324-nucleotide unclassified non-coding RNA is filed under the name soil metagenome. Its description in RNAcentral is "partial contains 5.8S ribosomal RNA, internal transcribed spacer 2, and large subunit ribosomal RNA". The stretch from base 1 to 120 matches the Rfam family "5.8S ribosomal RNA", at positions 35 to 154 of the family's 154-position model. The record is from RNAcentral.
GAUGAAGAACGCAGCGAAAUGCGAUAAGUAGUGUGAAUUGCAGAAUUCAGUGAAUCAUCGAAUCUUUGAACGCACAUUGCGCCCCUUGGUAUUCCAUGGGGCAUGCCUGUUCGAGCGUCAUUUGUACCUUCAAGCUUUGCUUGGUGUUGGGUGUUUGUCCUGAGGGACUCGCCUUAAAGUAAUUGGCAGCCAGUGUUUUGGUUUUGAAGCGCAGCACAAGUCGCGAUUCAAGGCUACACGCCAGCUUCCACAAGCCUUUUUCACUUUUGACCUCGGAUCAGGUAGGGAUACCCGCUGAACUUAAGCAUAUCAAUAAGCGGAGGA